Molecule: non-coding RNA, 107 nt
Organism: Capsicum annuum
Lineage: Eukaryota; Viridiplantae; Streptophyta; Magnoliopsida; Solanales; Solanaceae
Source: Rfam
UGAUGAUGGUGAUGGCAAUUUCUGAGCAUACCCAUAAAUCUCUGCCAAUCUUGGUAGAGAUUCUCUCCUUAUUUCAGUCUAAAACUCAAGAUCUUACUUCUCAAGAA